Molecule: ribosomal RNA, 497 nt
Filed under: uncultured bacterium
Lineage: Bacteria
Description: partial 16S ribosomal RNA
Rfam family: Bacterial small subunit ribosomal RNA
Source: RNAcentral
GACGAACGCUGGCGGCGUGCCUAAUACAUGCAAGUAGAACGCUGAAGCGAGGAGCUUGCUCUUCUUGGAUGAGUUGCGAACGGGUGAGUAACGCGUAGGUAACCUGCCUUGUAGCGGGGGAUAACUAUUGGAAACGAUAGCUAAUACCGCAUAACAAUGGAUGACACAUGUCAUUUAUUUGAAAGGGGCAAUUGCUCCACUACAAGAUGGACCUGCGUUGUAUUAGCUAGUAGGUGAGGUAAUGGCUCACCUAGGCGACGAUACAUAGCCGACCUGAGAGGGUGAUCGGCCACACUGGGACUGAGACACGGCCCAGACUCCUACGGGAGGCAGCAGUAGGGAAUCUUCGGCAAUGGGGGCAACCCUGACCGAGCAACGCCGCGUGAGGGAAGAAGGUUUUCGGAUCGUAAAGUUCUGUUGUAAGUCAAGAACGGGUGUGAGAGUGGAAAGUUCACACUGUGACGGUAGCUUACCAGAAAGGGACGGCUAACUACGUG